RNAcentral lists this ribosomal RNA (919 nucleotides) under uncultured archaeon. Its description in RNAcentral is "bacterial SSU rRNA". It matches the Rfam family "Archaeal small subunit ribosomal RNA", at positions 1 to 922 of the family's 1478-position model. The record is from RNAcentral.
UUCCGGUUGAUCCUGCCGGAGGCCAUUGCUAUCGGGGUCCGAUUUAGCCAUGCUAGUCGCACGGGUUCAGACCCGUGGCGAACAGCUCAGUAACACGUGGCCAAGCUACCCUGUGGACCCGGACAACCUCGGGAAACUGAGGCUAAUCCGGGAUAACGAUCCCAGGCUGGAGUGCCGGGAGCGUGAAACGUUCCGGCGCCACAGGAUGCGGCUGCGGCCGAUUAGGUAGACGGUGGGGUAACGGCCCACCGUGCCGAUAAUCGGUACGGGUGGUGAGAGCCAGAGCCCGGAGAUGGAAUCUGAGACAAGAUUCCAGGCCCUACGGGGCGCAGCAGGCGCGAAACCUUUACACUGCACGACAGUGCGAUAAGGGGACCCCGAGUGCGAGGGCAUACAGUCCUCGCUUUUGUGUACCGUAGGGAGGUACACGAAUAAGGGCUGGGCAAGACCGGUGCCAGCCGCCGCGGUAAUACCGGCAGCUCAAGUGAUGGCCGCUGUUAUUGGGCCUAAAGCGUCCGUAGCCGGCCGCACAAGUCCGUCGGGAAAUCCACCCGCCUAACGGGUGGGCGUCCGGCGGAAACUGUGCGGCUUGGGACCGGAAGACUCGAGGGGUACGUCCGGGGUAGGAGUGAAAUCCUGUAAUCCUGGACGGACCGCCGGUGGCGAAAGCGCCUCGAGAGGACGGAUCCGACGGUGAGGGACGAAAGCUAGGGUCUCGAACCGGAUUAGAUACCCGGGUAGUCCUAGCCGUAAACGAUGCUCGCUAGGUGUGGCGCAGGCUACGAGCCUGCGCUGUGCCGUAGGGAAGCCGUGAAGCGAGCCGCCUGGGAAGUACGUCCGCAAGGAUGAAACUUAAAGGAAUUGGCGGGGGAGCACUACAACCGGAGGAGCCUGCGGUUUAAUUGGAUUCAACGCCGGG